UACGUAGGGUGCAAGCGUUGUCCGGAAUUAUUGGGCGUAAAGAGCUCGUAGGCGGUUUGUUGCGUCGGCUGUGAAAUCCCGAGGCUCAACCUCGGGUCUGCAGUCGAUACGAGCAAACUAGAGUGUUGCAGGGGAGACUGGAAUUCCUGGUGUAGCGGUGAAAUGCGCAGAUAUCAGGAGGAACACCGAUGGCGAAGGCAGCUCACUGGGACGGUACUGACGCUGAGGCGCGAAAGCGUGGGGAGCAAACAGG
Molecule: ribosomal RNA, 253 nt
Filed under: uncultured bacterium
Lineage: Bacteria
Description: partial 16S ribosomal RNA
Rfam family: Bacterial small subunit ribosomal RNA
Source: RNAcentral